RNAcentral lists this signal recognition particle RNA (98 nucleotides) under Pseudomonadota bacterium. RNAcentral's name for it is "Proteobacteria bacterium (groundwater metagenome) signal recognition particle sRNA small type". It matches the Rfam family "Bacterial small signal recognition particle RNA". Rfam says of the family: The signal recognition particle (SRP) is a universally conserved ribonucleoprotein involved in the co-translational targeting of proteins to membranes. Archaeal SRP consists of a 7S RNA and homologues of the eukaryotic SRP19 and SRP54 proteins. Lineage: Bacteria; Pseudomonadati; Pseudomonadota. The record is from RNAcentral. RNAcentral also lists the same sequence under 1 other name.
UGCCGGACACUGCGCGACAGACGGUUACGAACCUCGUCAGAUCCGGAAGGAAGCAGCGAUAAGCAAUGCGGUAUGUGUCGUAGUUGAUCCCGGCAACU